UGUUCGCUCGCUACGAUCUAUAUCUUUACAUUUAAUGAACUUUCAAUUUCAGAUAUAUACGUUUAACUUGUACCGAUAGAAAUAAAUUUCUGUUUGCAGCUUUAAAAACAGAAUGAAGAAUUACUUGAAUCAAUGUAUAAUAUUAUUAAUUUCAAAUUUAAAAAAAAAGGGAGUAAUGGCUCUCUAGCGAUCCGCUCACUGUUUAAAAGAACGUGUGCAACUUUGUCUAUUUAAAAUAAAAAUUAUCCUAGGUAGAACAAAUCUGUAAAACGCUCGAUGAAGGUUGAAAUAAUAGCGAGGUUGUCUAAAGUGAUUUUCACAGUUUGGCUAGAGUCGCCAAGCCGGACUUUUCGAGGAUGGGCAAAUUUUCCACACCCACCAGGGGAGUAAUUCACUCAUAGUCAUCAGGUAGAAAAUUUACGAACAGCGACAAGAGUCGAACGGUUACGGGGUUGCGGCCAAAACUUCAUUUCUGCGGUUUUUGCACUGUGACGCACCGUGCAACAUAAAUUUCGAGACUAACGGUGGUCACGUUACGCACCUGUAAAUCACCCGAAAGAUUUUCGUCGCUCCACACCGGAACAGAUUCGAUCUCCGCUGAGAAAACGGACAUAUAUUCUUCUCCACGGCUUAAACGGAGAAUUUUCAAGGAUUCUCGCCAUUUUUUGUGCUCGUUUCUUUUAGGGUCACAGGCUGUGACGUUUCUUUUUAUUGUCAGCUUUAGUAUUGGCCAUGAUGACAUAAUUACAAUAUGUUAGUACUUUCUACGUGCGAUUAGAAGGGAAAAUUUUAUUGAAAUAAAGACCAAUACAGUUUAACCAAGAAUAUACAAAGUUUUUAGAAUUCUCGUUAUAAAUUUUGAACGACCACAUUCGGCCUUUGAAAAUUUGAUAAAUUAACAAGAAAAGAGGAAAAAAUAUAUCCAUCAAUACAUUGUCGACUCUCCUUCAGCCAUCAAUUACCUUACUUAGAAGAAUCUGUAGUUUUGAAAGUAAAAAGAUCCAAUUGCCCACGGAAGCUAUGUAAGCGCACGUGUACACGCACACGAGUUGCCCACGUAUCUAUCGUUGCGGUGAGGAGAGGGAGGGACAAUUUUAUUGCAUUCUGAUGCAGGCCUACUUGCACCGAGACAAUAGUCCCAGGCAGAUAUGCAACCGGCCACGACAGAUAUGUCGGUGCAACAUACUCGUAAACUCGCGUGGGACUUCGUCUUCUCCUCGGUUGCGACAGCUACCUACCGGUCGAGGGAAUUUUUGACGAGCAGGUUGCUUGCGCUUUCGAUUCCCGCCGGUUCCGCUGUAUGGGAAUACAAAAAAAAAAAAAAAAGAAAAAGAAGAAGAAGAAGAAGAAGAAGAAGAAGAAAUAGAGUUGCAACUGCGUUCGUGUCGAAACCUGAACGUCUUCAAAUCCCAUGCCAGCCGGUAUAAAGAUGGCAAAGGAGAAAAGGUAUUAUUAACACUAGAAUUAUCGACGACUAACGCAUAAAAUUUCCAUCAGUAAAAGAAACAGAAAAUCUUUAUAAUACAAUAAGGUACACAAACUUUUAUUCAUAUACUUUACGAAUCUCCAAAGAUACAUCAUUUUAUAUCUAUAAAAUAUUCAAACGGUCAUUUUGACCAUUUUCGUGGUUCUAGUGUUAACAAGUACGAUGAUUGGUAGGAUUAAAUAUCGUAAAAUGAAAUGGUUCGUGAUCCAUGAAAAUUUGA
Molecule: long non-coding RNA, 1706 nt
Organism: Frieseomelitta varia
Lineage: Eukaryota; Metazoa; Arthropoda; Insecta; Hymenoptera; Apidae
Exons: 3
Source: RefSeq, a predicted model, not a curated record